UACGUAGGGGGCAAGCGUUGUCCGGAAUCAUUGGGCGUAAAGCGCGUGUAGGCGGCCAGAAAAGUCCGCUGUGAAAACUCGAGGCUCAACUUCGAGCUGUCGGUGGAAACUUUCUGGCUAGAGUCCGGAAGAGGAGAAUGGAAUUCCUGGUGUAGCGGUGAAAUGCGCAGAUAUCAGGAAGAACACCCGUGGCGAAGGCGGUUCUCUGGGACGGUACUGACGCUGAGACGCGAAAGCGUGGGGAGCGAAC
Molecule: ribosomal RNA, 250 nt
Filed under: uncultured bacterium
Lineage: Bacteria
Description: partial 16S ribosomal RNA
Rfam family: Bacterial small subunit ribosomal RNA
Source: RNAcentral